The sequence is a ribosomal RNA, 112 nucleotides long. It matches the Rfam family "Bacterial small subunit ribosomal RNA", at positions 77 to 187 of the family's 1533-position model.
AGCUUGCUCCCGGAAGUCAGCGGCGGACGGGUGAGUAACACGUAGGUAACCUGCCCCUUAGACUGGGAUAACUCCGGGAAACCGGAGCUAAUACGGGAUAAUAAAGAGAAUC